UGGCGGGUUGUCCGAGUGGUUAAGGAGUCCGGCUUAAGAUAUAUAUUAUCUAAGCAAUCCGGAUGCGUAAUGCAUCGUCGGUUCGAUCCCGACACCCGCUA
This 101-nucleotide transfer RNA is filed under the name Dishui Lake large algae virus 1. RNAcentral's name for it is "tRNA-Leu". It matches the Rfam family "tRNA". From Rfam's summary of the family: Transfer RNA (tRNA) molecules are approximately 80 nucleotides in length. Their secondary structure includes four short double-helical elements and three loops (D, anti-codon, and T loops). The record is from RNAcentral.